RNAcentral lists this ribosomal RNA (272 nucleotides) under uncultured Alphaproteobacteria bacterium. RNAcentral describes it as "partial 16S ribosomal RNA". It matches the Rfam family "Bacterial small subunit ribosomal RNA", at positions 9 to 308 of the family's 1533-position model. The record is from RNAcentral. Lineage: Bacteria; Pseudomonadati; Pseudomonadota; Alphaproteobacteria.
GAGUUUGAUCAUGGCUCAGAACGUACGCUGGCGGCACGCCUAAUACAUGCAAGUCGAACGAAGUAGCAAUACUUAGUGGCAGACGGGUGAGUAACAUGUAGGUAUCUUCCCAUUGGUGAGGAAUAACACGAGGAAACUUGUGCUAAUACCUCAUAAGUCUUUACGGAGAAAGCUUUAUGCGCCGAUGGAUGAGCCUGCACUUGAUUAGUUUGUUGGUAGGGUAAUGGCCUACCAAGACAAUGAUCAAUAGCUGAUUUGAGAGGAUGAUCAGC